This 527-nucleotide ribosomal RNA is filed under the name Bacillus cereus. RNAcentral describes it as "bacterial LSU rRNA". It matches the Rfam family "Bacterial large subunit ribosomal RNA", at positions 2403 to 2925 of the family's 2925-position model. The record is from RNAcentral. Lineage: Bacteria; Bacillati; Bacillota; Bacilli; Caryophanales; Bacillaceae.
AAGUCGGGCUUAGUGAUCCGGUGGUUCCGCAUGGAAGGGCCAUCGCUCAACGGAUAAAAGCUACCCCGGGGAUAACAGGCUUAUCUCCCCCAAGAGUCCACAUCGACGGGGAGGUUUGGCACCUCGAUGUCGGCUCAUCGCAUCCUGGGGCUGUAGUCGGUCCCAAGGGUUGGGCUGUUCGCCCAUUAAAGCGGUACGCGAGCUGGGUUCAGAACGUCGUGAGACAGUUCGGUCCCUAUCCGUCGUGGGCGUAGGAAAUUUGAGAGGAGCUGUCCUUAGUACGAGAGGACCGGGAUGGACGCACCGCUGGUGUACCAGUUGUUCUGCCAAGGGCAUAGCUGGGUAGCUAUGUGCGGAAGGGAUAAGUGCUGAAAGCAUCUAAGCAUGAAGCCCCCCUCAAGAUGAGAUUUCCCAUAGCGUAAGCUAGUAAGAUCCCUGAAAGAUGAUCAGGUUGAUAGGUUCGAGGUGGAAGCGUGGUGACAUGUGGAGCUGACGAAUACUAAUAGAUCGAGGACUUAACCAUAUAA